AAUCUACAAGCACCAGCUACACCCACAUUGCCCCCAUCUACUGUCACGGUUUUGCAUCGCCCACAUCGCCAGUUCCUUUAACAGUGGUGGCUUCCAUUAUAGUUUUGAUCAAAUUUAAAGAUUUGGUUUUGCUUGGCUUCACUUGGAGAAAUUGUUUUGCUCGUGCACAAUUUAUUUCAUGGUUUCGAUCGGAUUUGUUCUUUAAUUGCUAUUUAAAUUAUUCGUUUGAUGGAUUAUACAUGAUAGAUAAGGAAUUAUUAUAUGUAUUGGGCAUAAAAAUUUAUAAUUUUGUAAGAUUAGGUUUUGUAAAAUAUGGCACAUUAAAUGUUUGUUA
This 334-nucleotide long non-coding RNA is filed under the name Citrus maxima (pomelo). RNAcentral's name for it is "long non-coding RNA (CMAX_LNC004180)". The record is from RNAcentral. Lineage: Eukaryota; Viridiplantae; Streptophyta; Magnoliopsida; Sapindales; Rutaceae.